GGAUCUGUAGCUCAGCUGGUCAGAGCAUCCGCCUGUCGAGCGGAAUGUCGUGGGUUCGAGCCCCAUCAGAUCCGCCA
This 77-nucleotide transfer RNA is filed under the name Gammaproteobacteria bacterium HGW-Gammaproteobacteria-1. RNAcentral describes it as "tRNA-Asp". It matches the Rfam family "tRNA". From Rfam's summary of the family: Transfer RNA (tRNA) molecules are approximately 80 nucleotides in length. Their secondary structure includes four short double-helical elements and three loops (D, anti-codon, and T loops). Further hydrogen bonds mediate the characteristic L-shaped molecular structure. tRNAs have two regions of fundamental functional importance: the anti-codon, which is responsible for specific mRNA codon recognition, and the 3' end, to which the tRNAs corresponding amino acid is attached (by aminoacyl-tRNA synthetases). tRNAs cope with the degeneracy of the genetic code in two manners: having more than one tRNA (with a specific anti-codon) for a particular amino acid; and 'wobble' base-pairing, i.e. permitting non-standard base-pairing at the 3rd anti-codon position. Lineage: Bacteria; Pseudomonadati; Pseudomonadota; Gammaproteobacteria. The record is from RNAcentral.